Paramormyrops kingsleyae is the source of this 584-nucleotide long non-coding RNA. RefSeq lists it as uncharacterized. NCBI's taxonomy places the organism in Eukaryota, Metazoa, Chordata, Actinopteri, Osteoglossiformes, Mormyridae. The record is from RefSeq and is a predicted model, not a curated record.
UCAAUAUCUGCCUUUCGGGGCAUUUUAUAACCAUAUAGUUAAAAGUACAUAUAUGAAGAAAACAUACGCUGGCGAAAGCCUGACUACUGUCGAGGGUUGUCUUUGCAGACACCAGAAUAAGAUUUCUACAAUGUUACUACUUUAGUGGCAUUUCUGCGUUUCGCAUCUGCAUCACUUAUCAGCACGCGUCUCAUCCCGUAUAAUUCCCUGCCUUGUGUGCUGUGCCGCUCGGGACUGGAUCCAAGACCCCCUCAACUCCUUCCUCAUAACCGUGUACAGGAAAUGUGGAUGGAUGGAGGGGCAUUAUUUGCAUGGUGACAUCAUUGAAGAUAUCCUUGACAAUGGAGAAGUAAAUCUGAACGGUGAUCCAACAGCUUCAAGGAUGCUUCAAGACUCAUCUAGGAUCCCUCUUGAUCAUUGAUGGAUGCUGCAUUCUUAUACCACAAACAGUGAUUGAAAUUUCAUGUUACUUUAUGACCCGUGAAUCAUACAGCUGAAGAUGACAAAAAAUAUUUACACUUAUUUUAUGUAGCAGACAUUUUCAUUCAAAGUGGCGCAUGUUUUUUGAGACGAGCCCUGGAGCA